RNAcentral lists this ribosomal RNA (582 nucleotides) under Bacillus sp. AG02-18. Its description in RNAcentral is "bacterial SSU rRNA". It matches the Rfam family "Bacterial small subunit ribosomal RNA", at positions 30 to 591 of the family's 1533-position model. The record is from RNAcentral. Lineage: Bacteria; Bacillati; Bacillota; Bacilli; Caryophanales; Bacillaceae.
GCAACCUGGCGGCGUGCCUAAUCAUGCAAGUCGAGCGGACAGAUGGGGAGCUUGCUCCCUGUAUGUUAGCGGCGGACGGGUGUAGUAACACGUGGGUAACCUGCCUGUAUGACUGUGGAUAACUCCGGGAAACCGGGGCUAAUACCGGAUGCUUGAUUGUGCCGCAUGGGGUCAAUUAUAAAAGGUGGCUUUUAGCUACCACUUACAGAUGGACCCGCGCCGCAUUAGCUAGUUGGUAAGGUAACGGCUCACCAAGGCAACGAUGCGUAGCCAACCUGAGAGGGUGAUCGGCCACACUGGAACUGAGACACGGCCCAAACUCCUACGGGAGGCAGCAGUAGGGAAUCUUCCGCAAUGGACGAAAGCCUGACGGAGCAACGCCGCGUGAGUGAUGAAGGUUUUCGGAUCGUAAAACUCUGUUGUUAGGGAAGAACAAAUGCGUUAGUAACUGGGCGGAUCUUGACGGGACCUAAUCAGAAAGCCACCGCUAACUACCUGCCAGCAGCCGCGGUAAUACCUAAGUGGCAAGCGUUAUCCGGAAUUAUUGGGCGUAAAGCGCGCGUAGGGGGUUUUUUAAGUCUG